RNAcentral lists this ribosomal RNA (1205 nucleotides) under Levilactobacillus brevis. RNAcentral describes it as "bacterial SSU rRNA". It matches the Rfam family "Bacterial small subunit ribosomal RNA", at positions 40 to 1201 of the family's 1533-position model. The record is from RNAcentral. Lineage: Bacteria; Bacillati; Bacillota; Bacilli; Lactobacillales; Lactobacillaceae.
AGGAUGGAUCUAUAAUGCAGUCGACGAGCUUCCGUUGAAUGACGUGCUUGCACUGAUUUCAACAAUGAAGCGAGUGGCGAACUGGUGAGUAACACGUGGGGAAUCUGCCCAGAAGCAGGGGAUAACACUUGGAAACAGGUGCUAAUACCGUAUAACAACAAAAUCCGCAUGGAUUUUGUUUGAAAGGUGGCUUCGGCUAUCACUUCUGGAUGAUCCCGCGGCGUAUUAGUUAGUUGGUGAGGUAAAGGCCCACCAAGACGAUGAUACGUAGCCGACCUGAGAGGGUAAUCGGCCACAUUGGGACUGAGACACGGCCCAAACUCCUACGGGAGGCAGCAGUAGGGAAUCUUCCACAAUGGACGAAAGUCUGAUGGAGCAAUGCCGCGUGAGUGAAGAAGGGUUUCGGCUCGUAAAACUCUGUUGUUAAAGAAGAACACCUUUGAGAGUAACUGUUCAAGGGUUGACGGUAUUUAACCAGAAAGCCACGGCUAACUACGUGCCAGCAGCCGCGGUAAUACGUAGGUGGCAAGCGUUGUCCGGAUUUAUUGGGCGUAAAGCGAGCGCAGGCGGUUUUUUAAGUCUGAUGUGAAAGCCUUCGGCUUAACCGGAGAAGUGCAUCGGAAACUGGGAGACUUGAGUGCAGAAGAGGACAGUGGAACUCCAUGUGUAGCGGUGGAAUGCGUAGAUAUAUGGAAGAACACCAGUGGCGAAGGCGGCUGUCUAGUCUGUAACUGACGCUGAGGCUCGAAAGCAUGGGUAGCGAACAGGAUUAGAUACCCUGGUAGUCCAUGCCGUAAACGAUGAGUGCUAAGUGUUGGAGGGUUUCCGCCCUUCAGUGCUGCAGCUAACGCAUUAAGCACUCCGCCUGGGGAGUACGACCGCAAGGUUGAAACUCAAAGGAAUUGACGGGGGGCCCGCACAAGCGGUGGAGCAUGUGGUUUAAUUCGAAGCUACGCGAAGAACCUUACCAGGGUCUUGACAUCUUCUGCCCAAUCUUAGAGAUAAGACGUUUCCCUUUCGGGGACAGAAAUGACAGGGUGGUGCAUGAUUGUCGUCAGCUCGUGUCGUGAGAUGUUGGGUUAAGUCUCGCAAACGAGCGCUACCCCUUAUAUCAGUUGCUAGCCAUUCAGGAGGCACUCUGAUGAGACUGCCUGGUGACUAACCUGGAGCAAGCUGGAUGGAUGGACGUUCCGAAAUUCCAUUCC